CCUACGGGUGGCAGCAGUGAGGCAUAUUGGUCACUGGGCGAGAGUCUGAACCAGCCACGCAGCGUGAAGGAUGACUGCUCUCUGGGUUGUAACCUUUUUUUAUCAAGGAAUAAAACGAGGCACGUGUGCCUUUUUGCAUGUACUUUAUCUAUAAGGAUCGGCUAACUCCGUGCCAGCAGCCGCGGUAAUACGGAGGAUCCGAGAGUUAUCCGGAUUUAUUGGGGUUAAAGGGAGCGUAGAUGGGUUGUUAAGUCAGUUGUGAAAUGUUGCGGCUCAACCGUAGAAUUGCAAUUGAUACUGGCAGUCUUGAGUGCAUUUGAGGUAAGCGGAAUUCGUGGUGUAGCGGUGAAAUGCAUAGAUAUCACGAAGAACACCGAUUGCGAAGGCAGCUUACUAAACUGUAACUGACAUUGAUGCUCGAAAGUGUGGGUAGCAAACAGGAUUAGAUACCCGAGUAGUC
This 460-nucleotide ribosomal RNA is filed under the name uncultured bacterium. RNAcentral describes it as "partial 16S ribosomal RNA". It matches the Rfam family "Bacterial small subunit ribosomal RNA", at positions 338 to 795 of the family's 1533-position model. The record is from RNAcentral.